Molecule: unclassified non-coding RNA, 429 nt
Filed under: soil metagenome
Description: partial contains 5.8S ribosomal RNA, internal transcribed spacer 2, and large subunit ribosomal RNA
Rfam family: 5.8S ribosomal RNA (bases 1-120)
Source: RNAcentral
GAUGAAGAACGUAGCGAAAUGCGAUACGUAAUGUGAAUUGCAGAAUUCAGUGAAUCAUCGAAUCUUUGAACGCAUAUUGCGCUCUUUGGUAUUCCGAAGAGCAUGCUUGUUUGAGUAUCAGUAAACACCUCAAAGUCUUUUUUUCUUGAAGAAAACGACCUUGGACUUGAGCAUUCCCAACUCUUCUUUCAGAAGAGGCGGGUUGCUUGAAAUGCAGGUGCAGCUGGACAUUCUCCUGAGCUAAAAGCAUAUUCAUUUAGUCCCGUCACACGGAUUAUUACUUUUGCUGCAGCUAACAUAAAGGGAGUUUGACCAUUUUGGCUGACUGAUGCAGGAAUUUCACAAGAGUCUUCAAAACGCUCUUGUUAAACUCGAUCUCACAUCAAGUAAGACUACCCGCUGAACUUAAGCAUAUCAAUAAGCGGAGGA